GUUCUCUCCUCCCACUUCACAGGUAAGAAAAUGAAACUCGGGACACUCAAGUCACCUUCUCGAGGUCUUUCAGCCAGUAGGUGACCUUGAAGGAUGUCUGCAUUAAGAAAACAGUCUCCUCUCACCUCCUGUGCUCUUGCUACGUGGGAACCAUUGGUUACUUUAGCGAGUAUGAGUUAACGGUGUUGUAAUAAGGCGAUUCUGAAGCAUUCUACCAAUGUCAUGUGAAUCUGGUCAAGGCCAACACCUGUGCUGGUUUAGCUAGUGACUGUGGCAGAACUAGGCCGCUCUCCUGCAAGUGGUGACAUGUGGGGAUCCAGGCUCCUCCCAAGCUGUGGCUCCACCAUCUCAACAAAGCGUUCCAAGGUGCCCUGGGCUUCAUCCAAACGGCAUCAGGGGGAAGAAAGAAACUUCAGAUCAGCCACACUCACUCCUAACUGCCUCUUCUCAGUCUAGUGGCAAGAGUUAGUUUCACGGCCACUUCGUGCCAAGGUUUCGGAGGUCUACGUCAGCAGGUCACCAGAAAGAAUAAAUAGGUCUAAUAAGCAUGCAGCCCAUUUUUCGCAAACUCCACCACACAGGCGAGGAAACAGUGCUACAAAGCACCCAAGUGAGUCAACCCAUGUCACACGGGAGCAAAUUCUGUCUUCCACUGCGGAGCUCUUUGCUGAAAACAUCGACACUUUCUAAAAAUACAUUUUCUCUUUUCAUUUCUUAUCUCACACUUCCUACAGAAAAUUUGAAAAAUACAGAAAAAUUUAAAUAAAAGGUAAAUGAGGGGAACCCUGCAUCUGAAACUCAGCUUGCUUAUAGAAAGCAAAGCAUCACUCAGAAGACAAAAAAAAAAAAAAAAUCUUGUGGGAUUUAAAUCGCUUACUGCAGAACAGUGCCUGGUGCCUGGAAUGCUGUUGGGCGGUCUAAUGCGCUUUGAAAAACUCCAUGGAGCCCUUGGGCUGGAAAGGGAGAUGAAAGGAAGCUACGGAUGAGCAGCGAAGCGGUCAGGCUCGGAGCCCUCCCUCACCUCUGCAAUCAGCACGUUCCCAAGUCUAAUGAGAACCACAAGUUCCCGAGGAAGUACUUACCGCACAAUUUGUCACCACGAUUUCUAAAUGGCUUAGGGUGAUCAUGACACCUUUAAUCUCUGCAAUGCCAGGGGAAUACUCGAAAGGCUGUUAAUUGUUGAACACCCACAUGGUUGCAACUACUUUCAUGUUAUCAAAUAUGGUUUGCAAUAGCCUCAAAAAGACAAGAGAGAAGUUUCUAGAGAAGAAAAAACACACACGCACAAGCAGGUGCGGGCUCAUGCACACCCCACCUCUGUGUGAUAAACAUAGUUGAACAGGGGAUUAGGUUCAACUUCUCCUUUCACGAGGAAAAUUUGUGUCUUUUAAGCUCUAGGAAUGUAUUUGUUUUCCUUAGAUGCAAGCUUAGUCAUACACUUUCAACUCAUUGGUAGUAAUUCCUUUUUUUACUGCAGUCUGACCAGGACUAAUUCUGCUCUGAGGAGUCCUAGCAAUGAAAUGCAAAUGGAGUUUUGCCCUCUGGCGUAAAACAGUUGGCUAUCACUCCUAGAGACCAGGUCUAGACUCCCAAGGAAAGUUAGGGAAGAUGUCGCCCUUGGUUGGCUGUUGUGUGUUUUGAACUUUGGGAAGCUAGAUAACUCUGCUGCACCUUUCUAUUCCCUUGGGAGUCCCAGAUCCAGAUGCAAAAUUGAGAGGAUGUGAUAAUAAAGUUUAGAAAUGAA
This is a non-coding RNA of Microcebus murinus (gray mouse lemur), 1744 nucleotides long. Lineage: Eukaryota; Metazoa; Chordata; Mammalia; Primates; Cheirogaleidae. The record is from RefSeq and is a predicted model, not a curated record.